GGCUGGAGGCCAAGGUCAAGUUGAAAGUUGCUGUCUCGCCA
Molecule: unclassified non-coding RNA, 41 nt
Organism: Periophthalmus magnuspinnatus
Lineage: Eukaryota; Metazoa; Chordata; Actinopteri; Gobiiformes; Gobiidae
Source: Ensembl